RNAcentral lists this small nuclear RNA (199 nucleotides) under Rhopalosiphum maidis (corn leaf aphid). RNAcentral describes it as "U2 spliceosomal RNA". It matches the Rfam family "U2 spliceosomal RNA". From Rfam's summary of the family: U2 is a small nuclear RNA (snRNA) component of the spliceosome (involved in pre-mRNA splicing). Complementary binding between U2 snRNA (in an area lying towards the 5' end but 3' to hairpin I) and the branchpoint sequence (BPS) of the intron results the bulging out of an unpaired adenosine, on the BPS, which initiates a nucleophilic attack at the intronic 5' splice site, thus starting the first of two transesterification reactions that mediate splicing. The record is from RNAcentral. Lineage: Eukaryota; Metazoa; Arthropoda; Insecta; Hemiptera; Aphididae.
UUUUCUUGUAAUGUUGAUUCUAAGCAUUAAUAAACGAACAAAAUCUGUUCUUAUCAGCUUAACAUCUGAUACACCUUUCAUCGAAAGGUUCAAAUGUUAAACUAAUUUUUUCAAAAUUUGGUGGAGAUUUCGGGGCUUGCUCCUGCUUCACCGCGGGUUGACCCGAUAUUGCAGUACCAUGGGGAACGGCCCACAUAAU